Molecule: ribosomal RNA, 592 nt
Filed under: uncultured bacterium
Lineage: Bacteria
Description: bacterial SSU rRNA
Rfam family: Bacterial small subunit ribosomal RNA
Source: RNAcentral
CCUACGGGAGGCAGCAGUGGGGAAUCUUGCGCAAUGGGCGAAAGCCUGACGCAGCAACGCCGCGUGCGGGAAGAAGGCUUUCGGGCUGUAAACCGCUUUCAGCAGGAACGAAAAUGACGGUACCUGCAGAAGAAGGAGCGGCCAACUAUGUGCCAGCAGCCGCGGUGAUACAUAGGCUUCAAGCGUUGUCCGGAUUUAUUGGGCGUAAAGAGUUCGUAGGCGGUCGAGUAAGUCGGGUGUGAAAAUUCUGGGCUCAACCCAGAGACGCCACCCGGAUACUGCUUAACUUGAGUUCGAUAGGGGAGUGGGGAAUUCCUAGUGUAGCGGUGAAAUGCGCAGAUAUUAGGAGGAACACCGGUGGCGAAGGCGCCACUCUGGAUCGAUACUGACGCUGAGGAACGAAAGCAUGGGUAGCAAACAGGAUUAGAUACCCUGGUAGUCCAUGCCGUAAACGGUGGGCACUAGGUGUGGGAUUCUAUUAACGAAUUCCGCGCCGUCGCUAACGCAUUAAGUGCCCCGCCUGGGGAGUACGGUCGCAAGCUAAAACCUUAAAGGAAUUGACGGCNGAGAGUGCGAGACGACACGAGGAGAG